Paramuricea clavata is the source of this 296-nucleotide non-coding RNA. Lineage: Eukaryota; Metazoa; Cnidaria; Anthozoa; Malacalcyonacea; Plexauridae. The record is from the annotation of a GenBank genome assembly.
GUUAAGUCAUAAUAACCAGCUUUGCAUUUAUAAAAAAACGUAAUAUCUUUGAUUUUGAACCAGUAUGAAAUAGGCAGUAGGUUAAGUUUCUUUAAACGGUUGGUGUAAGAUGAGUUGAAGUCUUGAAGGAUAUACUUGGUUGCUCGUCUUUGGACACUUUCAAGACAAAGAAGGUCCCUAGAUGUUGUUUGGGGUGCCCAAAUUUCACUGCCAUAGCACAGGUGUGUACGAACAAGUGUCAAAUAGAGAGAGCGUCGACAGUUUGUAUCAGUUAAAUAUGUGCAGUUACGUCGUAG